CACGCCGUAAACGAUGGAUGCUCGGCGUGUGGCGGCUAUCAACGCCGCUGGGCGCCUCAGCUGACGCGGAAGCAUCCCGCCUGGGAACUACGAGCGCAAGCUUAAAACUCAAAGGAAUUGACGGGGGCCCGCACAAGCAGCGGAGCGUGUGGUUUAAUUCGACGCAACACGCAGAACCUCACCCAGACUGGACAUGACACUGCAUGUGGCGGAAACGUCACAGCCUUCGAGGGAGUGUCACAGAUGC
RNAcentral lists this ribosomal RNA (247 nucleotides) under uncultured Roseiflexus sp. Its description in RNAcentral is "partial 16S ribosomal RNA". It matches the Rfam family "Bacterial small subunit ribosomal RNA", at positions 796 to 1041 of the family's 1533-position model. The record is from RNAcentral. Lineage: Bacteria; Bacillati; Chloroflexota; Chloroflexia; Chloroflexales; Roseiflexaceae.